AUGCAGGAAAAGAAUACAGACUUAGAAAUAGACAGUUGUGGAUAUUUCUCUAAGGGUCCCCUUUCAGUGCGUGGGCAGUUAACAUUCUAAGGAGCUUCUGUUCUUUGUGUAGCACCUGCUUUCCUAUUGCCUUCUAAAAACUAUGUCCACACAUAUGAGACUAAAACUUUCCUCUCUUGGGUGUCUCCUAUGUGGACUGGAGGGACACUUCAAUUAGAAAAGCUUUGGUGUCUGCACAGUCCCACACGAGCCAAGCCCGGCUUGCAGGGUCAAGCUGUCUUUUCAUAG
Molecule: long non-coding RNA, 288 nt
Organism: Pan paniscus (pygmy chimpanzee)
Lineage: Eukaryota; Metazoa; Chordata; Mammalia; Primates; Hominidae
Source: Ensembl